CCUACGGGUGACAGCAGUGGGGGAUAUUGCACAAUGGGGGGAACCCUGAUGCAGCGACGCCGCGUGGGUGAAGAAGCGCCUCGGCGCGUAAAGCCCUGUCAGCAGGGGAGAAAAUGACGGUACCUGAAGAAGAAGCCCCGGAUAACUACGUGCCAGCAGCCGCGGUAAUACGUAGGCGGCAAGCGUUAUCCGGAUUUACUGGGUGUAAAGGGGGCGCAGACGGGUCUGAAAGCCAGGAGGGAAAGCCCGGGGUCCAACCCUGGCAUUGCACUUGGAACUGGGUGGCUGGAGUGCAGGUGGGGCAGGCGGAAUUCGUGGUGUAGCGGUGAAAUGCGUAGAUAUCAGGAGGAACACCGGUGGCGAAGGCGGCCUGCUGGACUGCAACUGACGUUGAGGCCCGAAAGCGUGGGGAGCAAACAGGAUUAGAUACCCUUGUAGUC
RNAcentral lists this ribosomal RNA (440 nucleotides) under uncultured bacterium. RNAcentral describes it as "partial 16S ribosomal RNA". It matches the Rfam family "Bacterial small subunit ribosomal RNA", at positions 338 to 795 of the family's 1533-position model. The record is from RNAcentral.